This 86-nucleotide non-coding RNA is filed under the name bovine gut metagenome. RNAcentral describes it as "TPP riboswitch (THI element)". It matches the Rfam family "TPP riboswitch aptamer (THI element)", at positions 10 to 89 of the family's 105-position model. From Rfam's summary of the family: Vitamin B(1) in its active form thiamin pyrophosphate (TPP) is an essential coenzyme that is synthesised by coupling of pyrimidine and thiazole moieties in bacteria. The previously detected thiamin-regulatory element, thi box was extended, resulting in a new, highly conserved RNA secondary structure, the THI element, which is widely distributed in eubacteria and also occurs in some archaea. Analysis of operon structures identified a large number of new candidate thiamin-regulated genes, mostly transporters, in various prokaryotic organisms. The record is from RNAcentral.
AAAGGGGAGCUUGUAAACAGGCUGAGAGGAGAUUCGAAAUCUCGACCCGUAGACCUGAUGCGGAUAAUGCCGCCGUAGGAAUCAUA